CACGCCUUUUCCCACCCCCCGACUCUGCCUCGGCGAUGAGUCCGCUGUCUGGAUCCCUUUACCCAGGAGUGGGCUGAGGACCCAGCGGUUCGGCAGCGGGGAUCAUCGCACCACGCUCCUGGACCCCUACAACCUCCUGUUCUCCAGCGGCCUCCAGCAUGACCACCGGGCUAGGAGCAGGCAUCCGGGCUGCCGGAGCGCUCGCUGCUCAGUGGCUCAGCCCUGCGCCGCCUUUGCCGGGAGCGGGGAUCCGAGGUGGGAGAAGGCCUCUUCGCCCGGCUCCUGGGCACAGCUACCUGCCUGAACAGCUGCCUGGCACCGAGCCUGCGCUCCCCGAGCACCCGGCCGCGGGUCCGCGACGCCUUCCGGGGCUGAGUAGCCGAAAACUAUCUCCUACUGCAAGUCUUUUCCAGUCCCAUGCUGAGUAUUGUUAUCCCAAUAGUUCUUUAAUGUCAGUGUGUGUGUAUUCCUGGGCGACUAUGCUCGUGUGGUCUACGGAGUUGUGGAGGUCACAGUUCUAGGACAGCCAUUUCAUAGGCCUCUGCUGCAGAAUCUACCCCGGAAGAGAGAGCCCAGAGAAUUGCCAAAGCUGUCUGCAAGCAGUCAAUUGACGUGAAGGAAAAUUGGGAGCAAUUGAAAACCCAUGCGAGCAACUGGCAGAACAAGGUGGAAAAGGCGUUAGAGAAACUUCAAGAACUGCAGAAAGCUCUGGAUGAUCUUGAGUCUCAUGUGAUAACAGCUGAGGGGGUCCACAUUGAUUGGCAACCUGUGAAUGACCUGUUUAUUGACGCAUUGCAGGAUCACAUGGAUAAAACCACAGUUAAGGACUGCCUGCAAAAUCUGAGAUUGGGUUUUGAAACACAUCAACCUUUGCUUGCGAGAGAUAAUGGUAACUGCAGAUGCUAGAGAAUGCGAGAUAACAAUGUGUGGAGCUGGAUGAACACAGCAGGCCAAGCAGCAUCUCAGGAGCACAAAAGUUGACAUUUCGGGCCUCGACCCUUCAUGCGAGAGAACGUAACGUUUUUAAAGAAGAAAUUGCCCCAGUCAAACAAGAAGUCAAAAUAUUAAAUGAUCUGGGAUGUCAGUUAUCUCCGCUUGAUGUCUCUUUCUCUCCAAAGAUUUCUCACCAGCUUGAUGACCUAAAUAUGAGGUUGAAAUUUAUACAGUUUGCACUUUAGAAUGUAAUCGCAAAACAAAAUCCAAAUAGUGAGAGAUGUGAGCAUCCGAACUACAGUCUGAAAUGGUUCAGGACUGGAACAAUUUGAAUAUAUUCAGGAUGAAGCUGCAGGUAGCAGCAGCAGGAGGUGAGGAGGCAGAGACUGCAACCCUGAGGUCACGGAGGGAAGGAAAAGAGGCUCUUACUUGGAGAUUGAGAAGCAGGAGAGGGCACAACCCAGAGGUUUGGGAGUGGAGAGAGGCUGCAAGUUGGAGGUCAAGGUGAUUUAAACACCGUGCGUUUUUCUGCAUAUCGGCCAGCAAUGAAGAUCCGCCGACUCCAGAAAGCACUCUGUUACCACAUCAGGUGAAGAUGUGUGUGAUUUCACCAAGGUGCUGAAAAAUAACUUCAGAUCAAAGAAAUACUUUGCCAAACAUCCUCGCUUGGGUUAUUUACCACUACAAACAGUCCUAGAAGG
This is a long non-coding RNA of Stegostoma tigrinum, 1634 nucleotides long. RefSeq lists it as uncharacterized. The record is from RefSeq and is a predicted model, not a curated record. The transcript has 9 exons. Lineage: Eukaryota; Metazoa; Chordata; Chondrichthyes; Orectolobiformes; Stegostomatidae.